AGCUUCAGUAGCGUAUAUUAAAGUUGUUGCAUUUAAAAAGCUCGUAGUUGAUGUUUCACUUGCCACAUUUGCACUCUUUUAGCUGUGCUUUUCGUGGAAAGUUGGUAUUUGGUGGUGACACCACGUACACUGUGAGUAAAUUAGAGUGAUCCAAACAGGUUGGGCCUGAAUGUUUCAGCAUGGUAUGGGUUCUUGACAACGCCUUCUCUAUGCAUUCGUGUAUGGAAUUUGAGCGGAGUAAAGAUUAAUAGAGAUGGAUGAUGGGAUUCGUAUUGAGUUGCUAGAGGUGAAAUUCUUGGACCAACUCAAGACGUUCUGAAGCGAAAGCUUUUUCCACAGAUACUCUUA
Molecule: ribosomal RNA, 348 nt
Filed under: uncultured eukaryote
Lineage: Eukaryota
Description: partial small subunit ribosomal RNA
Rfam family: Eukaryotic small subunit ribosomal RNA
Source: RNAcentral